AUACGGAGGGAGCGAGCGUUAAUCGGAAUUACUGGGCGUAAAGCGCGCGUAGGCGGCUUUGUAAGUCGGAUGUGAAAGCCCUGGGCUCAACCUGGGAAUGGCAUUCGAUACUGCAGAGCUAGAGUAUGGUAGAGGGAAGUGGAAUUUCCGGUGUAGCGGUGAAAUGCGUAGAUAUCGGAAGGAACACCAGUGGCGAAGGCGACUUCCUGGGCCAAUACUGACGCUCAGGUGCGAUAGCGUGGGUAGCGAACAGGAUUAGAAACCCCAGUAGUCC
RNAcentral lists this ribosomal RNA (274 nucleotides) under uncultured bacterium. Its description in RNAcentral is "partial 16S ribosomal RNA". It matches the Rfam family "Bacterial small subunit ribosomal RNA", at positions 523 to 796 of the family's 1533-position model. The record is from RNAcentral.